GUGGAUAUAGCCCAGUGGUAGAGUGCGUGCUUCGCAUGGGUGAGAUCCUGGGUUCAACCCCCAGUACCUCCA
Molecule: transfer RNA, 72 nt
Filed under: Camelus bactrianus (Bactrian camel)
Lineage: Eukaryota; Metazoa; Chordata; Mammalia; Artiodactyla; Camelidae
Also listed under: 2 other names
Rfam family: tRNA
About the family: Transfer RNA (tRNA) molecules are approximately 80 nucleotides in length. Their secondary structure includes four short double-helical elements and three loops (D, anti-codon, and T loops). Further hydrogen bonds mediate the characteristic L-shaped molecular structure. tRNAs have two regions of fundamental functional importance: the anti-codon, which is responsible for specific mRNA codon recognition, and the 3' end, to which the tRNAs corresponding amino acid is attached (by aminoacyl-tRNA synthetases). tRNAs cope with the degeneracy of the genetic code in two manners: having more than one tRNA (with a specific anti-codon) for a particular amino acid; and 'wobble' base-pairing, i.e. permitting non-standard base-pairing at the 3rd anti-codon position.
Source: Rfam by way of RNAcentral